UAGGGAAUCUUCGGCAAUGGGCGAAAGCCUGAUGCAGCGACGCCGCGUGAGGGAUGGAGGCCUUCGGGUUGUAAACCUCUUUCGCUCAUGGUCAAGCCGCAACUGUGGGUUGUGGUGAGGGUAGUGGGUAAAGAAGCGCCGGCUAACUACGUGCCAGCAGCCGCGGUAAUACGUAGGGCGCGAGCGUUGUCCGGAAUUAUUGGGCGUAAAGGGCUUGUAGGCGGUUGGUCGCGUCUGCCGUGAAAUUCUCUGGCUUAACUGGGGGCGUGCGGUGGGUACGGGCUGACUUGAGUGCGGUAGGGGAGACUGGAACUCCUGGUGUAGCGGUGGAAUGCGCAGAUAUCAGGAAGAACACCGGUGGCGAAGGCGGGUCUCUGGGCCGUUACUGACGCUGAGGAGCGAAAGCGUGGGGAGCGAACAGGAUUAGAUACCCUGGUAGUCCACGCUGUAAACGUUGGGCACUAGGUGUGGGGGCCACCCGUGGUUUCUGCGCCGUAGCUAACGCUUUAAGUGCCCCGCCUGGGGAGUACGGCCGCAAGGCUA
RNAcentral lists this ribosomal RNA (543 nucleotides) under uncultured bacterium. Its description in RNAcentral is "bacterial SSU rRNA". It matches the Rfam family "Bacterial small subunit ribosomal RNA", at positions 355 to 896 of the family's 1533-position model. The record is from RNAcentral.